CCUACGGGCGGCUGCAGUGGGGAAUAUUGGACAAUGGGGGCAACCCUGAUCCAGCCAUGCCGCGUGUGUGAAGAAGGCCCUCGGGUUGUAAAGCACUUUCAGUGAGGAAGAACGCCUGGUGGUUAAUACCCAUCAGGAAAGACAUCACUCACAGAAGAAGCACCGGCUAACUCCGUGCCAGCAGCCGCGGUAAUACGGAGGGUGUGAGCGUUAAUCGGAAUUACUGGGCGUAAAGCGCGCGUAGGUGGCUUGAUAAGCCGGUUGUGAAAGCCCCGGGCUCAACCUGGGAACGGCAUCCGGAACUGUCAAGCUAGAGUGCAGGAGAGGAAGGUAGAAUUCCCGGUGUAGCGGUGAAAUGCGUAGAGAUCGGGAGGAAUACCAGUGGCGAAGGCGGCCUUCUGGACUGACACUGACACUGAGGUGCGAAAGCGUGGGUAGCAAACAGGAUUAGAUACCCCGGUAGUC
RNAcentral lists this ribosomal RNA (465 nucleotides) under Vreelandella stevensii. RNAcentral's name for it is "partial 16S ribosomal RNA". It matches the Rfam family "Bacterial small subunit ribosomal RNA", at positions 338 to 795 of the family's 1533-position model. The record is from RNAcentral. Lineage: Bacteria; Pseudomonadati; Pseudomonadota; Gammaproteobacteria; Oceanospirillales; Halomonadaceae.